Molecule: ribosomal RNA, 292 nt
Filed under: uncultured bacterium
Lineage: Bacteria
Description: partial 16S ribosomal RNA
Rfam family: Bacterial small subunit ribosomal RNA
Source: RNAcentral
GUGUCAGCAGCCGCGGUAAUACGUAGGGCGCAAGCGUUGUCCGGAUUCACUGGGUGUAAAGGGUGCGCAGGCGGGCUGGCAAGUCAGCGGUGAAAUCUCACAGCUCAACUGUGAAACUGCCGUUGAUACUGCCAGUCUUGAGUUCGGGAGAGGUUGAUGGAAUUCCAGGUGUAGCGGUGAAAUGCGUAGAUAUCUGGAAGAACACCGGUGGCGAAGGCGGUCAACUGGCCCGGAACUGACGCUGAGGCACGAAAGCGUGGGGAUCAAACAGGAUUAGAUACCCUCGUAGUCC